Molecule: ribosomal RNA, 496 nt
Filed under: uncultured bacterium
Lineage: Bacteria
Description: partial 16S ribosomal RNA
Rfam family: Bacterial small subunit ribosomal RNA
Source: RNAcentral
GAUGAACGCUGGCGGCGUGCCUAAUACAUGCAAGUCGAGCGAACGGACGAGAAGCUUGCUUCUCUGAUGUUGCGGCGGACGGGUGAGUAACACGUGGAUAACCUACCUAUAAGACUGGGAUAACUUCGGGAAACCGUAGCUAAUACCGGAUAAUAUUUUGAACCGCAUGGUUCAAAAGUGAAAGACGGUCUUGCUGUCACUUAUAGAUGGAUCCGCGCUGCAUUAGCUAGUUGGUAAGGUAACGGCUUACCAAGGCAACGAUGCAUAGCCGACCUGAGAGGGUGAUCGGCCACACUGGAACUGAGACACGGUCCAGACUCCUACGGGAGGCAGCAGUAGGGAAUCUUCCGCAAUGGGCGAAAGCCUGACGGAGCAACGCCGCGUGAGUGAUGAAGGUCUUCGGAUCGUAAAACUCUGUUAUUAGGGAAGAACAUAUGUGUAAGUAACUGUGCACAUCUUGACGGUACCUAAUCAGAAAGCCACGGCUAACUACGUG